This 427-nucleotide ribosomal RNA is filed under the name uncultured bacterium. RNAcentral's name for it is "partial 16S ribosomal RNA". It matches the Rfam family "Bacterial small subunit ribosomal RNA", at positions 355 to 774 of the family's 1533-position model. The record is from RNAcentral.
UGGGGAAUAUUGCACAAUGGGCGCAAGCCUGAUGCAGCCAUGCCGCGUGUAUGAAGAAGGCCUUCGGGUUGUAAAGUACUUUCAGCGGGGAGGAAGGCGAUAAGGUUAAUAACCUUGUCGAUUGACGUUACCCGCAGAAGAAGCACCGGCUAACUCCGUGCCAGCAGCCGCGGUAAUACGGAGGGGGCAAGGGUUAAUCGGAAUUACUGGGCGUAAAGCGCACGCAGGCGGUCUGUCAAGUCGGAUGUGAAAUCCCCGGGCUCAACCUGGGAACUGCAUUCGAAACUGGCAGGCUAGAGUCUUGUAGAGGGGGGUAGAAUUCCAGGUGUAGCGGUGAAAUGCGUAGAGAUCUGGAGGAAUACCGGUGGCGAAGGCGGCCCCCUGGACAAAGACUGACGCUCAGGUGCGAAAGCGUGGGGAGCAAACA